GCGUUGGUGGUUCAAUGGUAGAAUUCUCAUCUUCCACGUGGGACAACCGGGUUCCAUUCCUGCCCAGCGCA
Molecule: transfer RNA, 71 nt
Filed under: Loxodonta africana (African savanna elephant)
Lineage: Eukaryota; Metazoa; Chordata; Mammalia; Proboscidea; Elephantidae
Rfam family: tRNA
About the family: Transfer RNA (tRNA) molecules are approximately 80 nucleotides in length. Their secondary structure includes four short double-helical elements and three loops (D, anti-codon, and T loops). Further hydrogen bonds mediate the characteristic L-shaped molecular structure. tRNAs have two regions of fundamental functional importance: the anti-codon, which is responsible for specific mRNA codon recognition, and the 3' end, to which the tRNAs corresponding amino acid is attached (by aminoacyl-tRNA synthetases). tRNAs cope with the degeneracy of the genetic code in two manners: having more than one tRNA (with a specific anti-codon) for a particular amino acid; and 'wobble' base-pairing, i.e. permitting non-standard base-pairing at the 3rd anti-codon position.
Source: Rfam by way of RNAcentral